GACAUGUUGUCAGGCUGCGUGGGGGGUUUGGACCCAAAUGCAGAGGCAAAAAUGCAAAAACUCCAAAUGAAGGGAACAAAAGACUUUACUGCACAAAAGGAACAAAAAGGAACAAAAAGCCUCACAGGGCAACUUCUAACAAACAAGGGAAACUACAAAACGCAGGAACAAGAAAAUCCAGAAAAAUACAAACACUAGGAAACCAGAACAUAGACAGGAACGCAUGGAGCAGGAACUUGAGGAGGGGAGCACAGAACAACCAGACAUAACCACAAGAAUCCUGCACCUGAGUCAAGGAAGAGGGAAACUUAAAUAGAACACACUGACGAGACACAGGAGGGCACCAUGAACAAUCAGGCCACAGAGAGGGAAGGGAAAACGAGACAACCAGCAAGCACUAAUAGGAAGACAAUUGAAAACAGUCAUACAAUUCACAUAGGGGGAGCAGGACACAAAACAGAAGUGCCGCCAUCUGGCGGCCCAACAGGGAAAACGCAGACAGGAAGACAGGACCAUGACACAUGUAUAUAAAAAGUAGAAGUAAAAAAAACACUUCAGUUAAAAAUAAUUACAUGAGGUAAAAAUAGACAAUCGUGAAUAAAUAGUCUUGAUGGUUUCAAAUAAUCCCACUAUCUUCAGGGUUGGUGGAUGUCACGUAGAGAGAUGUAUUCACAAAAAUACGUCCGUGUUGCUGCAGCGUAUCUCCUAAUAAGCCCAUGUUUCAAUGUGCCCCGUGGUCCAACGUGCCCCGCCCUCCCCUACAUUUCACUCAAAUACACAGAAAAACCAUGUCUUAAUGUACAGCUUGUCACUAAAAUGUAUUUUUAUCUCCUUUCCUGUUACAAUAAGAUCGUAAUUUGACGCAAGCCACUGUUCUAGUUUGCUCGUCCCACGGUUGUGUUAACUGUCAGAUAUGGUUUUGAGUGCUCACAUUUGCCACCUGGUCGUGGUUCACUUUUGGGAACAACAACUUGUUCCUGUGGAAAAACAAGAAAAUAUAUGCAAAUUAGCCUCUGCCGUGAAGAUCUCUUGCAGCAGGAGUGCCAAAUGAAACUCUAAACCACUGCACGCACCAGCAAAAAAGCUAUGGAGAUUUUAUACCUACCCAGCACACACACAACAUUCUGACAACGUUGUGAAAAGGUUGUCAGAAAGUUUAACUUGGUCUCUGCAAGGUUGUCACAAUAUUGUCACAAUUUUACGAGUAAAGUCGUCAUAAAGUAGUUUGACAACCAGCUAAGAACUUUCAAGGUUGCUAAAACAAAAACUUUCAAGGUUGCUAAAGUGGCUUGCUAGCUCUCAUGAUCAAGGCUUAAAUACUAACGGACGAUAAAGGUAACGGCUGUAUUUAUUUAUUUAUUUAUUUUUAUUUUUAUUUUUUUUAAAUACUUUUGUGGUUUUAUUUCUGUGCUGGCAAAUAUGUCAGAGGUUGCCCAGCGCUAGCUUUAGCUGUUAAGGGGAUGUGUAUGGACUCCCCAUAGAGAUUAAUGGAACUGGUCUUUACUUGCAUAUUGUAAAAGUGUCCUGUCCUGUGUGUUUGAUGUUAUCGAUAAUAUGAGAGCAGGUUCUCCCAAACAGCAUUUCUUGCAAUUCGUACGUGUUCACUGUUUUGUAACCCAAGGAAAAGACUUCAACAAAAAGAAGAAACAUCUUACUGUGGUGGGAAAAAAAUCCCCCAGAGCACAAGGUUUUACUCUAAAGCCAAGGACACAUUUUAAAGCUUGCAGGUAAGAUGUAGCUACUAAUUCAUCAUGUAGAUGUUUUUGUAUAACUAUGAAUUGUGCCAUAUGUUAACAGGAUGGUAAACAUUUUGAUAAAAUGAUAGACACCUUCUAAUUAAAUAGCAAUGUUAUUACUCUAUUGUAUGCUAUGCUGUUUUGGGAGGGUGAUUUCUUUGCCUAGCUAGUUAAUUUCCCUAAUAUUACACAGUAAAUUUAUUCAUUAUUUUAUUUUAUUUCACCCAAAAGAUUUGAGAGAGGGACUGGAAUAUGACUGUAGCCUAUAUAUGCAGCUUUUCAUGUGCUCAACUGUUGAUGCUUCUUGCACAAGGCAGUACAUUAAAUAUCAAUGAACGAAUCAAGACAAUUAAAUAUUUUGAAUAUUUUGGGGUCCAGAAAUCUUGAGGUAGAGCCCCAGAUUGAACCCCCAAUGGUGGAGCACCUGAUUGAACCCCAGAUGGUGGAGCCCCGGAUUGAACCCCAGAUGGAGACCACCCUUAACAUGGAGAAUGAUGGAAAGAAUGCCUGGAGGACAGACUUUAAAGGAGAGGAUAUCAAAUGGAGGGAGUUGAAGACUGGUGUGGCAUUUUCUCUGUGAGAAAAUAUUUGACAUCAAUGAAAAGAAGACUGAAUGAAGAAGGUUGAAUAUAGAGGUAUGUUAUUAUUCUUGUUUAUGAUUAAUUACAAUUGACUCUUACCUACGACAAGCUGUUUAUAAGCUGAUGGGCUGUUGCAUACAAUUCAUGUAGCAUUGUCUCAAAGUCAAUGAAAGCUUUACUUACAUUUUGGAUACAUUUAUUGAAAACAUUGAAAUGUGGAACAAAUACAAUAAAUUAGCCUGCAAUAUCUUAAUUAUUUUUCCUUAGCAUUACACCACCGAUUAUUGCAAAAUUAAUUAGCCAAUAAUUACUCCAAAUACUCUGCUCUGCUUGGAUGUGAUUAUUUCUCUAAUCUGAAAGUACAGUAUAUUUGAAUCCAAAAUCAAUAUUUAUUUCCCAUGUGAUUGGUUAUUGAUAAAAUUGCCUACACUAACUAGAGUUACCAGAGGGCCAGUUACAGGUCACAUAAAUAUACCUGCUGAGAUGCUGCACAUCCUGGCCCAUGUGGUUGAAGAACCCAUCCUAUAGGUAGUCCUCUCCUCACACGCCAUUGGCCUGGAAAUGGCUGAGUCAACUGAUGUUGCGAUGACCAAGCAACUGGACAUCCACCUCCAUGUUUCUAUUAAUAAUGAAUAAUUAGAAUCAGACAUUGUGUAAGGAUGGCAUGAUUAUUCUGAUGGAAUUUGUUUUAGGUACCCUGGCAAAGAAGGGUGGCUUUUUAACCAGCUUUUGGACAUCAUUGUUGAAGCUGUGUGAGAAGUGAUGGAAACAAAAGGCAACCAUGUGUUCGGUUUGGGAACUGACGGAAUUUCAGUGAUGAUGGGUAGUCUUCAUCCCAUUCAUUUGAAAAAAUAUGUUUUAAGUUUUAAAUAGAAUAUUAGAGAAAAAUGAAAAAUUCAUUGUAAGUAAUAUGUUAUUUAAAUCAUUAAGAGGGCAACAUAAUUUAAAGUAUUUAGAACGGGUUGGUGGAUUGGAGUUGCCAAGCAGCUGACCAACACAUGGCUUUGGCUAGUGUCUUGCAUUUGUAAACUGUGCUAUAUACAGCUAUUCACAGCAAUGCUCCAGGCAGUUGCUACUUCGAUUGUAGUGGACCACCUCAAAGUGACUGUAAGUCUACCUAUUUAAGGAAAAACACUUGUAAGAGCUCAACUUUAUUGCCUUGCUAUUUUUCAUUAGGAGGUGAAGGACACAAGAUUGCUUUCACAAAACCAAACAUCUCAAGCACAUCUGGCAGCACACGUAGAGGAGGCGGCCAUCAAGAAAGAUCCUGUGGCGUGGGGCCUGUACACAUUCUGUGCUACAUACAGAUUUGUUGCUGUGUUCCACCUCAAAGCAGAUAUUGUUUUCCGUCUCAGUCGCUUGUCCAAACUGUUUCAAAGAGAGGACGUCAACUUCCUGAUGAUCAAACAACAUUGCUCUUGAAUGGGUUUCUGAAGGAAUUUGCUAGACUUAAAAUUAACCUGCUCUGUUUUAAUAUAUUUUAUGUCCCUGUUACCAUUGAGACCAGAGGCAGGAGACCAGUAACCUCACACUUCUGUGAGGUCAACCAGAUGGUCAACAGCCUAAACAUCCAGGCGGAGGAGGAAAGGGGGAAGAGACAGAAUGUGAGAGAAGAGGACCCAGGCACAUUAUGGACAUGGUUCCAAAAUGAGGACAAGUCUCAGCUGGUGGUCAUGAAGCAGAUGAUCUCUGAGCAUGAUAACAACUCUGCCCCAACUUAAACCAGCUCUUACAGUUCCAGUAUCCAGCAUCAACUGUGAGAGGCACUUAUCUGCAAUGAACAGGAUUGACGGCACCCAUACGGCAAGACUGCACCUCCUUGUUUUAUUUUAGCCUUGUCUUUCUGAAAAAUAAUUGUCAAAUAAUUAACAAAUGUUACAUUUACUAUUUUAACAAUUGAACAAAUGUAAGCAGGU
Long non-coding RNA from Anguilla anguilla (European eel), 4233 nucleotides. RefSeq lists it as uncharacterized. The record is from RefSeq and is a predicted model, not a curated record. The transcript is spliced from 4 exons. Lineage: Eukaryota; Metazoa; Chordata; Actinopteri; Anguilliformes; Anguillidae.